This 502-nucleotide ribosomal RNA is filed under the name uncultured bacterium. RNAcentral describes it as "partial 16S ribosomal RNA". It matches the Rfam family "Bacterial small subunit ribosomal RNA", at positions 899 to 1397 of the family's 1533-position model. The record is from RNAcentral.
ACUCAAAUGAAUAGACGGGGACCCGCACAAGCGGUGGAACAUGUGGUUUAAUUCGAGGCAACGCGAAGAACCUUACCAGGAUUUGACAUGCCCUCUAUGGACUCUUGAAAGAGAGUCCUUCACUUCGGGUGGGAGGUGCACAGGUGCUGCAUGGCUGUCGUCAGCUCGUGUCGUGAGAUGUUGGGUUAAGUCCCGCAACGAGCGCAACCCUCAUCCUCUGUUGCUAACAGGUAAUGCUGAGAACUCUGAGGAAACUGCCGGUGAUAAGCCGGAGGAAGGUGGGGAUGACGUCAAGUCCUCAUGGCCCUUACAUCCUGGGCUACACACGUGUUACAAUGGCAGUGACAGUCGGUUGCUACCUCGCGAGAGGAUGCCAAUCUGCAAAAGCUGCCUCAGUUCGGAUUGUACUCUGCAACUCGAGUGCAUGAAGUUGGAAUCGCUAGUAAUCGCUGAUCAGCACGCAGCGGUGAAUACGUUCCCGGGUCUUGCACACACCGCCCGU